This is a long non-coding RNA of Ficedula albicollis (Collared flycatcher), 2313 nucleotides long. The record is from Ensembl. Lineage: Eukaryota; Metazoa; Chordata; Aves; Passeriformes; Muscicapidae.
GGGGGGGGGGGGGGGGGGGGGGGGGGGGGGGGGGGGGGGGGGGGGGGGGGGGGGGGGGGGGGGGGGGGGGCGGGCAGCGAGGCCGGCGGGAGGUGCGGCCCUGCCCGCGCCCCCUCCCCGCUGCUGCCCCUGAGCGCUGCUUUUAUCCUCCCCACGCCUCUCCGUGAUUUUUGCGGCCUCCGGGACAGUCACGCCUUCAAAACUGCCCGCGCCGGGCCCAGCCGUGCCUGUGGCCUGCUUCAUGGCCGAGACCAGCGUGCUCCUGGGCCGGCUGGGAGAGACCGUGUACCAAAAGUGGUCACUGGCUGCCAAGAAAAAAUCCAGCACUGGUAAGUAAAAAAAUCCUACAUGUCUAAAAUACUGAUGAGUAACCUAGUUAUGCUUUAGUAAAGUAUUGCUGUUUAUUCUGAUGAGAGUCAAAUCCUGCUAGCAUAUUUUGGGAAUUAUAGUUAGUGAUAGUUCAGAAUUGUUGCAAUGUACUCUCCUUAAAAUACAUUUAUUUCUCACUGAUAUAAUAAAAUCACAAAUACAGUGAGCUUCAGUGUUUAUACUUCUGCCUUAAAAACCUAUCUCAUCUGUCGUUUUUGCCCAAGUAGCCUUGUUGGAUGAAUGCUUAAUCUGCUUGAAUGGUGAAAAGGUGCUCCCAGGGUAGAAUUAUUGUUGUUUUCUAACUAUGGAGCAAGUAGGGAAAUUCCACUUGCCCCCUCCUUAAGCUGAAACAAGGGGGAUGUAAUGUUUCACUGUUACCCCACAAGUAAAGUAUGUGCUAAAGCUUUGUUUUCAAUACUUAAAAUAAAUAGUUUGUUAUAUAAAAAAUUAUCUCUGGACAUUUUUUCCUGUGUUGGCAGUCUGUGGUUAAUAGAAAACAUACCUAGUAAAUAAUAGUUUUGUAUGGCAUCUGAGGAAAAUGUACAUUUAAUGGUGAAUGAAAUCUUAUGAGUUACUGUGAGAUAUAAUAGUUGAUCUUACAGAUAUCAAAUUACGAUAUAUCCAUGCUGUGUUUACCAUGAUUUUACUGAGAGAACAACAGGAGCUGUCUUGAUUAUUGUCUGCAGGGUUAUUGCAGAAUCACAGCAACUGCCCCUUUAGUGGUGAGAUUAAACCUUUGGUUAUACACCAUCAAGCAUAUAAUAUUUUAAAUUUAUUUUAAGAGGCUUUUUCUUCAUGCCUGAAAGAUCUCCAAGCAAAUAAUUUAUAUUUAGUGUGUAUCAAAUGUUUUUAGUUUAAAUGCACAUAGGCUGCAAGCGCUGGAUAAGAGGAAAAAAAUCAAGGCAAUCUAUACACAUCAUCAUAUUAAAUUCUGACUAUUGGCUCGCAAAAAUAAUCUAAAACUAAUAUGUUUCAUUUAUGUUUAAAAUUCAGAGGCUGCAUUAAUUUUCAAUAAGGGAAAUAUUGAAGUGUCUACUGGUGCUGCUGUGGUGAAGGCAGGCAGAAUAUCUCCAGCUCAUGCACUUUCUCAGGAGCUUUGCAGUGUCUGUGCCUGCUGGCUGCCAUGUGAAAUUCUGCAUGUGCAUUCUUCCACUCAGAAAUAUUUCAGAAAUAAACUAUUGGGCAGAAAGCUGUAAAAUUUGAACAGAUUUUUAAAAGUUUGGAAAAUUAUGACAAUUAUUUUCCUUUUUACUAUGGUUUAUGGAGUGACCUGGGAAUGUUGGCUGUGGAGAAAAGAGUCGCUCCUGUGUUUGCUUUUAUGCGAACUCUGGCAAUGAUUCCAUGAACUUGAUAGUUUUGGGCACAGAACCUCUAAUGAAAAAAAUAACAAACUGAUUUCUUUUAUAUAGAAAAGCAGUUUGUAUAGCAUCCAUACAAUCUUUAUUUCAUUAAAAAAUUAAAAUUUAGUACUCUUAUUUAGAUCUUGAUUGUGCAAGAGCUGAGUGCUCUUGUUUCAACUGAAUAAUUUGUUCAUAUAAGACCUUUUAAGUAGUCAGUGACACAGAAGAAUGUUAAAUAGAAUUGGUUGAAUAACAAUAGGGUUUUAAAAUGCUCAGCUUCAAUAUAUUUCCAUUAAAUUAUUUUCUAUUUUUCAAGUGCACUUUUUGAAGUAUAUUUCUAAAGCCAUGAAUCCAGUAAUGGGUUGGGUAUGGGAUUAAUAGCUACACAUGCAUUUCACCUUCUAGGGACAUGUUCAUAGCUGGAGUCCCAGUAUUCUUCCUCCCUUUCCCUUUGGUUCUUCAUUGCCUGUUGUGGCAAACUGUAGCCCUGGCACACCCCAGGGCUUGUGAAAGCAUCAGCUAGACAUGAAGAGGGAACUUCUUAAGUAAUGCUGUUUCAGGCCAAUUAUUUAAAAGGAUGAAUUUAAAUUUUCUUUAUCUGCAU